UGAACGCUGGCGGCGUGCCUAAUACAUGCACGUCGCGCGAACAGACGCGGAGCUUGCUCCUCUGACGUUAGCGGCGGACGGGUGAGUAACACGUGGAUAACCUACCUAUAAGACUGGGAUAACUUCGGGAAACCGGAGCUAAUACCGGAUAAUAUAUUGAACCGCAUGGUUCAAUAGUGAAAGACGGUUUUGCUGUCACUUAUAGAUGGAUCCGCGCCGCAUUAGCUAGUUGGUAAGGUAACGGCUUACCAAGGCAACGAUGCGUAGCCGACCUGAGAGGGUGAUCGGCCACACUGGAACUGAGACACGGUCCAGACUCCUACGGGAGGCAGCAGUAGGGAAUCUUCCGCAAUGGGCGAAAGCCUGACGGAGCAACGCCGCGUGAGUGAUGAAGGUCUUCGGAUCGUAAAACUCUGUUAUUAGGGAAGAACAAAUGUGUAAGUAACUAUGCACGUCUUGACGGUACCUAAUCAGAAAGCCACGGCUAACUACGUG
This 495-nucleotide ribosomal RNA is filed under the name uncultured bacterium. RNAcentral describes it as "partial 16S ribosomal RNA". It matches the Rfam family "Bacterial small subunit ribosomal RNA", at positions 30 to 507 of the family's 1533-position model. The record is from RNAcentral.